Molecule: long non-coding RNA, 662 nt
Filed under: Brassica napus (rape)
Lineage: Eukaryota; Viridiplantae; Streptophyta; Magnoliopsida; Brassicales; Brassicaceae
Description: long non-coding RNA (BNAP_LNC003523)
Source: RNAcentral
ACAAGCAUAAAUGUUUUUUAGGUGUAAAUAUUAAGUUUUAUACCAAAUAUUCUUUGUGACAAAAGAUACAUAAAGAACUAGCAACAACUGAAAUUUAAAUCCAAUGCAACAACGGAGAUGAGACAGAAAAAACAACUCCUAAUGAUCUAGCGACACUGACACUUGUUAUAGCAAAGAGCAAGCUGGGUUGAGCACAGUAAUAGCCUGACACAGCGGUUAGCAUUGCCCCAUGAGAAAGAAAUAUCUGAUAAACCAUAAGACCACAUUUUGGUAGAUAUAUAUUGGCUUGCCUGCAACGCUACUCGAAAUGAUUGGACUCAUUCCCACGCAGCUGCGUCAAACCUAGUCACUGGAGUUCAAGUGUCAGUCCCACCACCGGUAGGAAGAAACACAAAGCACCGAGAGCAUCCAAAUGCACUUGCCCUUACAAACCCUUUGUGGCGCCAUCUGGCUAGUCCCAAAAACACCGGGAGUCUUACUUAUUGGACUUUACUUCAGAAGUAAAUGGGAGCCAAGCGGAAAAUCAGGUGCAGCGAAACCAACAUCUUGUCAUAAAUCUUCCUAACAUGUAAAAAAGACCGAAGUUUAGCACAACACAGUGAACUAAAAACCCCGUGAAUGACAAACAAACUUUUUCACUGUUUAGGGCUGGAGCCAUUAUU